CCCUUAGAUGUUCUGGGCCGCACGCGCGCUACACUGAUGCAUUCAACGAGUUUCUUCCUGGUCCGAGAGGAAUGGGUAACCUUUUGAAAGUGCAUCGUGAUAGGGAUAGACUAUUGCAAUUAUUGGUCUUCAACGAGGAAUUCCUAGUAGACGUAGUUCAUCAGACUGCAUCGAUUACGUCCCUGCCCUUUGUACACACCGCCCGUCGCUCCUACCGAUUGAAUGCUCAGGUGAGCCAUUCGGACUUACAUCAUGCUGGUUUCCAGUUUUGAUGAAGGAAAGUCUUGCGAACCUUAUCAUUUAGAGGAAGGAGAAGUCGUAACA
Molecule: ribosomal RNA, 324 nt
Filed under: uncultured eukaryote
Lineage: Eukaryota
Description: partial 18S ribosomal RNA
Rfam family: Eukaryotic small subunit ribosomal RNA
Source: RNAcentral